CUGCCUGGCUAUUUUUAGCCCUGAUUGCCUUUGGCCUUGGUGUAGGUGGAACUCUGCUGGGGGGUUGGUUCCUCAGGGCAGCUGGAGAAUUCGAGGUGCUGAGGCAGGCAGCCCAAGGGCCAACAGGCUGUCCCGGCUGGCGGGGUGGGCAGGGCGGGCGCCUUCUCCCUCCUCACAGCCAUGUAAGGCGACCACAUUCUUUCUCAGCCCGCCCUCUCCAUUCCUGCCUUCUCAAACCUCUAGGGGAUGGGCUGCCCAGGAAUGUGAGCACCAGGUUGACAACUGCUGCUGCUCCAGGAGGGGCAGGAACACCCUGUUCAUGCCAUGCUCCUCAAACCAUCUCGUCUCUGACAAGCCACCUGCCCUGGAACAGGCCUGGGCUCAACACCCAGCAUCUGCUCCUCAGAAAGUUGAGAGGGACCAUUCAGUGAAGACCAGGGCAGGAUGGCACCUCUUUCUGCCCAGGAGCGUGGUGUGGAAAGAGCAUUGGAGCUCCCCUCUGCAGCCUUCCAAAGGCAAGGCCUAGGCAUGGGCUGCUCCCUGGUGGCCAGACAGGGAAGGACUCAUUCCUCUUUAUAGGUAAGGCAGGUGGGAUCCUAGGGGGGUUGUCACAGGUAGGGAACUGAAUUGGCAGGGCAGAGGGCCAAGCGAUCUGAAGGGUGCACAGGCAGAGGGCAGGCUGGCAGGAACGAAAGAGAUAAGAGAGGAGUGGAGAGCGUGGACAAUUUGUUUCACACACAGUAAAUGAAAAAGCAAUGAAAUGUGUCAUAUGGUAAAGGGAUCAAACCGUACAGUUCAGUUCAGUCGCUCAGUCGUGUCCAACUCUUUGUGACCCCAUGAAUUGCAGCACGCCAGGCCUCCCUGUCCAUCACCAACUCCUAGAGUUCACUCAAACUCACGUCCAUCAAGUCGGUGAUGCCAUCCAACCAUCUCAUCUUCUGUUGUCCCCUUCUUCUCCCACCUUCAAUCUUUCCCAGCAUCAGGGUCUUUUCCAAUGAGUCGGUUCUUCACAGCAGGUGGCCAAAGUAUUGGAGCUUCAGCAUCAGCCCUUCCAAUGAAUAUUCAUGACUGAUUUCCUUUAGGAUGGACUGCUUGGAUCUCCUUGCAGUUGAAGGGACUCUCAAGAGUCUUCUCCAGCACCACAGUUCAAAAGCAUCAAUUCUUCACUCAGCUUUCUUUAUAGUCUAACUCUCAUAUCCAUACAUGACUCCUGGAAAAACCAUAGCUUUGAAUAGACGGACCUUUGUUGGCAAAGUAAUGUCUCUGCUUUUUAAUAUGCUGCCUAGGUUGGUCAUAACUUUUCUUCCAAGGAGCAAGCAUCUUUUAAU
This 1328-nucleotide long non-coding RNA is filed under the name Bos mutus (wild yak). RNAcentral describes it as "lncRNA (ENSBMUG00000015837.1)". Lineage: Eukaryota; Metazoa; Chordata; Mammalia; Artiodactyla; Bovidae. The record is from RNAcentral.